UACAGAGGUGGCAAGCGUUGUUCGGAAUUACUGGGCGUAAAGGGCGCGUAGGCGGUCUUGUAAGUUCCGUGUGAAAUCCCUCGGCUCAACUGAGGAACCGCACGGAAAACUGCUUGGCUUGAGUUCGGGAGAGGGAAGCGGAAUUCCGGGUGUAGCGGUGAAAUGCGUAGAUAUCCGGAGGAACACCGGUGGCGAAGGCGGCUUCCUGGACCGACACUGACGCUGAGGCGCGAAAGCUAGGGGAGCAAACAGG
This 253-nucleotide ribosomal RNA is filed under the name uncultured bacterium. Its description in RNAcentral is "partial 16S ribosomal RNA". It matches the Rfam family "Bacterial small subunit ribosomal RNA", at positions 524 to 776 of the family's 1533-position model. The record is from RNAcentral.